ACGUUCCGCUGGUGUUCGGGUUGUCAUGCCAAUGGCAUUGCCCGGUAGCUACGAACGGAAGUGAUAACCGCUGAAAGCAUCUAAGCGGGAAGCACGCCCCAAGAUGAGAUCUCCCGAGAGCUUGACUCUCCUUAAGGCACCAUCAAGACCAGGUGGUUGAUAGGUCAGGUGUGGAAGUGCAGCAAUGCAUUGAGCUAACUGAUACUAAUGAGCCGUGAGGCUUGACCAUA
This 230-nucleotide ribosomal RNA is filed under the name Rhodanobacter glycinis. RNAcentral's name for it is "23S rRNA. Bacterial LSU". It matches the Rfam family "Bacterial large subunit ribosomal RNA", at positions 2701 to 2925 of the family's 2925-position model. The record is from RNAcentral. Lineage: Bacteria; Pseudomonadati; Pseudomonadota; Gammaproteobacteria; Lysobacterales; Rhodanobacteraceae.